GAUUUCUGGCUUGAUGCGCCUGGCCCACCUCGGUUACGAGUGUGAGUGCCGGUGCGCGUCUGCCAUCCUUCCAGAAAACAAUCUCGCCCUUCACUGGGUUGGGGUUGCAAUCUGGAUCUAUUACUUUGAAAAAAUUAGAGUGUUUAAAGCAGGCGUUUGCUAUGAAUACAUUAGCAUGGAAUAAUAAUUUAGGACUUUGGUUCUAUUUUGUUGGUUUCUAGGACUGAAGUAAUGAUUGAUAGGGAUAGUUGGGGGUGCUAGUAUUCAGUGGCCAGAGGUGAAAUUCUUGGAUUCACUGAAGACUAACUUAUGCGAAAGCAUU
RNAcentral lists this ribosomal RNA (322 nucleotides) under uncultured Cercozoa. Its description in RNAcentral is "SSU rRNA". The stretch from base 63 to 322 matches the Rfam family "Eukaryotic small subunit ribosomal RNA", at positions 694 to 955 of the family's 1831-position model. The record is from RNAcentral. Lineage: Eukaryota; Cercozoa.